CCUACGGGAGACUGCAGUGAGGAAUAUUGGUCAAUGGGCGCGAGCCUGAACCAGCCAAGUAGCGUGAAGGAUGACUGCCCUACGGGUUGUAAACUUCUUUUAUAAAGGAAUAAAGUGAGGCACGUGUGCCUUUUUGUAUGUACUUUAUGAAUAAGGAUCGGCUAACUCCGUGCCAGCAGCCGCGGUAAUACGGAGGAUCCGAGCGUUAUCCGGAUUUAUUGGGUUUAAAGGGAGCGUAGAUGGGUUGUUAAGUCAGUUGUGAAAGUUUGCGGCUCAACCGUAAAAUUGCAAUUGAUACUGGCAGUCUUGAGUGAGCGAGAAGUAUGCGGAAUGCGUGGUGUAGCGGUGAAAUGCAUAGAUAUCACGCAGAACUCCGAUUGCGAAGGCAGCAUACCGGCGCUCAACUGACGCUCAUGCACGAAAGCGUGGGUAUCGAACAGGAUUAGAUACCCCAGUAGUC
RNAcentral lists this ribosomal RNA (460 nucleotides) under uncultured bacterium. Its description in RNAcentral is "partial 16S ribosomal RNA". It matches the Rfam family "Bacterial small subunit ribosomal RNA", at positions 338 to 795 of the family's 1533-position model. The record is from RNAcentral.